UGUGGCUGGGGGUGAAAGGCCAAUCAAACCGGGAGAUAGCUGGUUCUCCCCGAAAUCUAUUUAGGUAGAGCCUUGAGCGGACACCUUCGGGGGUAGAGCACUGUUUCGGCUAGGGGUCCAUCCCGGAUUACCAACCCGAUGCAAACUACGAAUACCGAAGAGUGAUACUCAGGAGACACACGGCGGGUGCUAACGUCCGUCGUGGAGAGGGAAACAACCCAGACCGCCAGCUAAGGUCCCAAAGUCUAUAUUAAGUGGGAAACGAAGUGGGAAGGCUUAGACAGCUAGGAUGUUGGCUUAGAAGCAGCCAUCAUUUAAAGAAAGCGUAAUAGCUCACUAGUCGAGUCGGCCUGCGCGGAAGAUGUAACGGGGCUCAAAUAUAGCACCGAAGCUGCGGCAUCAGACGAAAGUCUGUUGGGUAGGGGAGCGUUCUGUAAGCGGAUGAAGGUGAAUCGAGAGGUUUGCUGGACGUAUCAGAAGUGCGAAUGCUGACAUAAGUAACGAUAAAACGGGUGAAAAACCCGUUCGCCGGAAGACCAAGGGUUCCUGUCCAACGUUAAUCGGGGCAGGGUGAGUCGGCCCCUAAGGCGAGGCUGAAAAGCGUAGUCGAUGGGAAACGGGUUAAUAUUCCCGUACUUGGAUAAACUGCGAUGUGGGGACGGAGCAGGUUAGGUUAUCGCACUGUUGGAUAUGUGCGUUUAAGUUUGUAGGUGGGAAGUUUAGGCAAAUCCGGACUUCUAUUCAACACUGAGAGAUGAUGACGAGGCUCUACGGAGCUGAAGUAACCGAUACCACACUUCCAGGAAAAGCCACUAAGCUUCAGGUUUAUCUAAACCGUACUGAAAACCGACACAGGUGGUCAGGUAGAGAAUACUCAGGCGCUUGAGAGAACUCGGGUGAAGGAACUAGGCAAAAUAGCACCGUAACUUCGGGAGAAGGUGCGCCGGCGUAGAUUGUAGUCCCUUGCGGAUGAAGGUUGAACCGGUCGAAGAUACCAGCUGGCUGCAACUGUUUAUUAAAAACACAGCACUCUGCAAACACGAAAGUGGACGUAUAGGGUGUGAUGCCUGCCCGGUGCUGGAAGGUUAAUUGAUGGUGUAAUCGAAAGAGAAGCUCCUGAUCGAAGCCCCAGUAAACGGCGGCCGUAACUAUAACGGUCCUAAGGUAGCGAAAUUCCUUGUCGGGUAAGUUCCGACCUGCACGAAUGGCGUAAUGAUGGCCAGGCUGUCUCCACCCGAGACUCAGUGAAAUUGAAAUCGCCGUGAAGAUGCGGUGUACCCGCGGCUAGACGGAAAGACCCCGUGAACCUUUACUAUAGCUUGACACUGAACAUUGAAUUUUGAUGUGUAGGAUAGGUGGGAGCCUUUGAAGCAGUCACGCCAGUGAUUGUGGAGGCGUCCUUGAAAUACCACCCUUUAACGUUUGAUGUUCUAACGAAGAUUACGAAACGUGGUCUCGGACAGUGUCUGGUGGGUAGUUUGACUGGGGCGGUCUCCUCCCAAAGAGUAACGGAGGAGCACGAAGGUUGGCUAAUCCUGGUCGGACAUCAGGAGGUUAGUGCAAUGGCAUAAGCCAGCUUGACUGCGAGCGUGACGGCGCGAGCAGGUGCGAAAGCAGGUCAUAGUGAUCCGGUGGUUCUGAAUGGAAGGGCCAUCGCUCAACGGAUAAAAGGUACUCCGGGGAUAACAGGCUGAUACCGCCCAAGAGUUCAUAUCGACGGCGGUGUUUGGCACCUCGAUGUCGGCUCAUCACAUCCUGGGGCUGAAGUAGGUCCCAAGGGUAUGGCUGUUCGCCAUUUAAAGUGGUACGCGAGCUGGGUUUAGAACGUCGUGAGACAGUUCGGUCCCUAUCUGCCGUGGGCGCUGGAGAACUGAGGGGGGCUGCUCCUAGUACGAGAGGACCGGAGUGGACGCAUCACUGGUGUUCGGGUUGUCAUGCCAAUGGCACUGCCCGGUAGCUAAAUGCGGAAGAGAUAAGUGCUGAAAGCAUCUAAGCACGAAACUUGCCCCGAGAUGAGUUCUCCCUGACUCCUUGAGAGUCCUGAAGGAACGUUGAAGACGACGACGUUGAUAGGCCGGGUGUGUAAGCGCAGCGAUGCGUUGAGCUAACCGGUACUAAUGAACCGUGAGGCUUAACCUU
RNAcentral lists this ribosomal RNA (2139 nucleotides) under human gut metagenome. RNAcentral describes it as "bacterial LSU rRNA". It matches the Rfam family "Bacterial large subunit ribosomal RNA", at positions 810 to 2925 of the family's 2925-position model. The record is from RNAcentral.